AAUCAACGCUGGCGGCGUGCCUAAUACAUGCAAGUCGAACGCGAAAGUCCCGCAAGGGGAUCAGUAGAGUGGCAAACGGGUGAGUAACACGUGGGUGACCUGCCUUCGAGCGGGGGAUAACGUUCCGAAAGGGACGCUAAUACCGCAUGAUAUCCUGCCUUUGAACAGGUGGAGAUUAAAGCUGGGGAUCGACAAGACCUAGCGCUUGAAGGAGGGGCCCGCGCCCGAUUAGCUAGNGGUGGGGUAACGGCUCACCAAGGCAACGAUCGGUAGCCGGCCUGAGAGGGGCGGACGGCCACACUGGGACUGAGACACGGCCCAGACUCCUACGGGAGGCAGCAGUAGGGAAUUGUUCGCAAUGGGCGCAAGCCUGACGACGCAACGCCGCGUGGA
This 393-nucleotide ribosomal RNA is filed under the name uncultured bacterium. RNAcentral describes it as "bacterial SSU rRNA". It matches the Rfam family "Bacterial small subunit ribosomal RNA", at positions 29 to 405 of the family's 1533-position model. The record is from RNAcentral.